GGGUAAAUUUGCCGUAACCAGAUAUGGACCAUCUUAAAAGCAAAUAUGAUUUCUAGUAAUCUACACUGAUUCUUUACUGUUAUCAUCAUGGCCACAGAAGCCCAUGAUACAACAAUGACAUUACAUUAGAGAGAAAGACUGCAUAAGGAGGACCAGUCAGCUCACUUGAAAGCACAUGCAGGAUUUUUGGCAACAGGGACAUGAGUGUUAUAAGGAUGGUCCAGAAGAAGGGAGGACCUCUUGUGAACAGUAGAUGUGAAGUAGGAGGGACAAGUUGCAAAUCCCAGUCCUCAAGGCAUAUGAUGCUUAGCUACAGUAAUUCAUUAACAGCACAACCUACUAAUAAACAGAAUAUUUUGGAAACUUCUUUGUUUCUGUCCCUUUAGGCAAGGAUAUCUCUAUGAAAAAACUGACAGAGCCCAGUUCCCUUGCCAGAAUCCUGAAUAUUUGAGUCAAGAUUCCAAGAACUCCUCAUCUACCAUUGCAAGUAUAGGGACAAUGUUGCAUAUCUCAGUGGAACAGCCUAAGAUUUGAAGUCAAUAGGAAGCUGAGCUUGACAUAGGAUCUGAACACUCAAAUAUCAACACAACCUCCAGUCUUAAGACUGUGCAUGCUUCUAAUAAAAAUUUGGAACCAAAAGAAGUUUAAAAAGCCGAAAGUGACUAAGUGCUGCUAUCCCAUGCCCCAAAGGUCACAGGUGAAAGGGGACAGCACAAACCAGCAGUUUGCCACUUGGUCUGAAGUUUGGCUUACAUCGAUUGAAUAUCAAUGGGCUGUGCAAGAGUUGCAUGACAGAGAACCACAUUUCAGAAUUAUGUCACUGGCUGGAGUGAUUGGCCAAGGUUUGGUUAGUAGGAUGGCUUUGGUAGGAUUCUUUGCAUUGGACAAGGCAGAAUUAGUGGACCCAGUAAGAGGUCAAGCCAGAGCAAAGUGGGCAGUCCAGAUAGGUAAGCUCGGAUUCAAAGUUGGAUUCAAAGUACUUUAGAUUGAUUUCUGAAAUAAGGCUGUGCUUUGGCAGGAUUUAUUUUGAAGUACCAGGGAAGUGUUUGCAAGCAUUUUUUCUUAAAAAAAGUGUGGACUGUCUAAAAGGCACUGUUUGUUUUACAGAGAGUAUACUUUCAAGAUACGAUUGUCAGAAUAUGGACCAGGGAACCACAGGGGAAUUCCACCUGGAGCCCUGCCCCAUCCUUCUCCAGUUUGGAAAUUGAUGUGCUGGUUUUCCUUAACUUAUGUUUAACACAUAUUUUGAGUGUCUGAACCAAUGUCAGCUCCUUGCUCUACUCAAUGGACUGACCCUUGAGUAUUUUAUAUCUCUAAGCUCCCAUUGAACCAAUUUCAAGUGCAUUUUAUGCCCCUGAUGGAACCAGUGGAUUUAGAUUGCUAGAGGCUCUUAAGAAUCAGUGGCUAUAUGAGCAGUGACUGCUUCAUCUCAGCUAUUGUUGAAUGAUUCUUGUUUGUUCUUCAAGUUUUGCAAACCACUGGAAGAUCCCUCUGGGUUGAGAAGGGCUAGAGUAAUAUAAGAUAUCACUGACAAUAGUAAUAACUUUUUUUUUUUUAUCAAACACCUUGCUUCCAGAGAGCUCAAAGUGCUUUAUGGAUGUUAUCUCAUGAAUCCUUCUGAUACCCCUGAGAGGCCAGGAGCAAAUACACUGCCAUCCUAGAGUUUCUGGCAGAGAAAGUGAAAAAGAGGAAAGGUGGAACACACAGCAGUCUUUAUUGAGGGAUGAGUGUGGCUCCUAGGAGUCAUAUGUUAUGUUUCAAUAGGCAAUGCAAAAGCUCUCUUCAGCAAUAUAAUUUUAUCAGUAAUAAUUAUUAUAGCUAAUACUGACUGAAUAUUUAUCAAGGGCCAAGUACUUUUCAUGCACUUUGCUUGUAUUCACAAAUUGAAUCCUCUGAAUACUUUGAUGGGAUUACCAC
Pan troglodytes (chimpanzee) is the source of this 1917-nucleotide long non-coding RNA. The record is from Ensembl. Lineage: Eukaryota; Metazoa; Chordata; Mammalia; Primates; Hominidae.